UGAGGAAUAUUGCGCAAUGGGGGCAACCCUGACGCAGCAACGCCGCGUGAGUGAGGAAGGUUUUCGGACCGUAAAGCUCUGUCGAGCGGGAAGAAAUGCAUGGUGGCUAAUAUCCAUCAUGCUUGACGGUACCGCUAAAGGAAGCACCGGCUAACUCCGUGCCAGCAGCCGCGGUAAUACGGGGGGUGCGAGCGUUGUUCGGAAUUAUUGGGCGUAAAGAGCGUGUAGGCGGCCGAAUAAGUCAGAUGUGAAAUCCCUGGGCUUAACCCAGGACGGGCAUUUGAAACUAUUCGGCUAGAGUAGGGGAGAGGAAAGUGGAAUUCCUGGUGUAGAGGUGAAAUUCGUAGAUAUCAGGAGGAACCCCGGUGGCGAAGGCGACUUUCUGGCCCUAUACUGACGCUGAGACGCGAGAGCGUGGGUAGCAA
Molecule: ribosomal RNA, 425 nt
Filed under: uncultured bacterium
Lineage: Bacteria
Description: bacterial SSU rRNA
Rfam family: Bacterial small subunit ribosomal RNA
Source: RNAcentral